UGGGGAAUUUUGGACAAUGGACGCAAGUCUGAUCCAGCCAUGCCGCGUGCGGGAAGAAGGCCUUCGGGUUGUAAACCGCUUUUGUCAGGGAAGAAACGAGUUUCUCUAAUACAGAGACUUAAUGACGGUACCUGAAGAAUAAGCACCGGCUAACUACGUGCCAGCAGCCGCGGUAAUACGUAGGGUGCAAGCGUUAAUCGGAAUUACUGGGCGUAAAGCGUGCGCAGGCGGUUAUAUAAGACAGAUGUGAAAUCCCCGGGCUCAACCUGGGACCUGCAUUUGUGACUGUAUAGCUAGAGUACGGCAGAGGGGGAUGGAAUUCCGCGUGUAGCAGUGAAAUGCGUAGAUAUGCGGAGGAACACCGAUGGCGAAGGCAAUCCCCUGGACCUGUACUGACGCUCAUGCACGAAAGCGUGGGGAGCAAACA
This 427-nucleotide ribosomal RNA is filed under the name uncultured bacterium. RNAcentral's name for it is "bacterial SSU rRNA". It matches the Rfam family "Bacterial small subunit ribosomal RNA", at positions 355 to 774 of the family's 1533-position model. The record is from RNAcentral.